CCUGAAGAACAGGGUGAUGAAAUUGCAAGUCAGGAGCCCGCCUGAAGAACAGGUUGAAGAAAUUGAAAGUUAGGAGCCCUCCUGAAGAACAGGGUGAAGAAAUUGAAAGUUAGGGGCCCGCCUGAAGAAUAGGGUGAAUAAAUUGAAAAUCAGGAGCCCGCCUAAAGAAUAGGAUGAUGAAUUUAAAAGUCAGGAGAUUGUCUAAAGAAUAAGAUGAUAAAAUUGACAGUCAGG
RNAcentral lists this long non-coding RNA (234 nucleotides) under Capsicum annuum. RNAcentral's name for it is "long non-coding RNA (CANN_LNC019641)". Lineage: Eukaryota; Viridiplantae; Streptophyta; Magnoliopsida; Solanales; Solanaceae. The record is from RNAcentral.